RNAcentral lists this ribosomal RNA (429 nucleotides) under Chloroflexota bacterium. Its description in RNAcentral is "Chloroflexi bacterium partial 16S ribosomal RNA". It matches the Rfam family "Bacterial small subunit ribosomal RNA", at positions 355 to 776 of the family's 1533-position model. Lineage: Bacteria; Bacillati; Chloroflexota. The record is from RNAcentral.
UGGGGAAUAUUGCACAAUGGGCGCAAGCCUGAUGCAGCCAUGCCGCGUGUAUGAAGAAGGCCUUCGGGUUGUAAAGUACUUUCAGUCGGGAGGAAGGUGUCAAGGUUAAUAACCUUGGCAAUUGACGUUACCGACAGAAGAAGCACCGGCUAACUCCGUGCCAGCAGCCGCGGUAAUACGGAGGGUGCAAGCGUUAAUCGGAAUUACUGGGCGUAAAGCGCACGCAGGCGGUUGAUUGAGUCAGAUGUGAAAUCCCCGGGCUUAACCCGGGAAUUGCAACUGAUACUGGUCAGCUAGAGUCUUGUAGAGGGGGGUAGAAUUCCAUGUGUAGCGGUGAAAUACGUAGAGAUGUGGAGGAAUACCGGUGGCGAAAGCGGCCCCCUGGACAAAGACUGACGCUCAGGUGCGAAAGCGUGGGGAGCAAACAGG